Molecule: ribosomal RNA, 337 nt
Filed under: Mammaliicoccus sciuri
Lineage: Bacteria; Bacillati; Bacillota; Bacilli; Caryophanales; Staphylococcaceae
Description: Staphylococcus sciuri partial 16S ribosomal RNA
Rfam family: Bacterial small subunit ribosomal RNA
Source: RNAcentral
AUUAAAUGGGGGAAGGGGGGGAAGGAGUCAAAUUAUCCUUCCCCUUUUGAUCUGGGGUACCCCCGUGSUUCAAUGGGUAAUACAAAGGGCAGGGAAUCCGGGAGGGCCAACAAAUCCCAUAAAAUUAUUUUCAAUUCGGAUUGUAGUUUGCAACUUGGCUUCAUGAAGCUGGAAUCGGUAGUAAUUGUAGAUCAGCCUGCUACGGUGAAUACGUUCCCGGGUCUUGUACACCCCGCCCGUCCCCCCCCGAGAGUUGUAACACCCGAAGCCGGGGGGGUAACCUUUUAGGAGGGAGCCGUCGAAGGUGGGACAAAGACUGGGGGAAGAAGAGCGAGGG